This is a long non-coding RNA of Octopus bimaculoides (California two-spot octopus), 2251 nucleotides long. RefSeq lists it as uncharacterized. The record is from RefSeq and is a predicted model, not a curated record. Lineage: Eukaryota; Metazoa; Mollusca; Cephalopoda; Octopoda; Octopodidae.
GUGGGGGGGGUCUCAAUUUAAUGUUUUGAAAACGAAAAAUAGGUUUCUAGGAAAGCAAUGAAAAAGUGUUCGUAUGUGAUAUAUAUAUUAUGCUGAGCAGAGGGUCUUGAGCUCGAUAUCUGCUGACCCCUCAAGGAUCAUUUAGUGAUUGAUUUAGAUUGGUUGAGUAAAAUAUUCAAACUAUUUUAUUACAUGACAACCGGAGAAAUGGAUACGUGAAAGGAAGAAUAUAGGUGUGGUCAUUCGUGCCACACAAACUGACAAGAGAAUGACGACGAUGGUGUGAUGCGUGUAUGGACGUAUAAAACGAGAUGAAUUAGUGAAAUGAGCGAUUAGAAUUGAUUUUGAAAUUGUGUGCACGCACAAGGAGAAAUAGAAAUAGAGGGAAUGAAAGAGAGAGGGGAAAAAAAUGAGAGAGAGAGAAGAGACAAAGAGAUAGUGAUGGAGUGAGAGGGCCGCCGGUAGUGGUGGCGUUAAGGAUUGGGGAUUGCGACUGCGCUUGGGCUUGCGCGAAAUGUAGUAAACAUAGAGUCGCGCCGGCGACAGCACGUUAAACAUAUCUCUCUCGUUGCUCGUCUCUGAUGAACAGUUUCAACGGCAUGGAGGAAACGAAUUUGCCCGAAACAAAAUACCUACGGAUCAAUGUGUGUGUAUGUAUAUAUAGACAUCAAUAUGUCCGUCGGUCUGUCUAUAUACAUCAUUACAGACACGCGCGCUUACCGUUUCACCGAGUCGUUACAGGUCAACCAAGCAGGGCCUAGUGAAAUAUCUUUGCUGCCAUACGAUCUCCGAGCGAUGGAAGAAUAUGUAUUACUGAAAUGAACAGCCCGUUUUGUCUCUGUUAACUCUUUCAGUCGCACCUUGUUUGGCGGAGUCAAAAGAAAAAUGGACGACAUGAGAGGAUCGUGACGUAAUUCGUCUUUCAAAGGAUUCAAGAGUCAAACAAUAUCUCAGGUACUUUCACAAUAAAAAGAGUAAGUAGUACACAUCUAGUCCAACUAUUAACUCUAAUUUAUCAUACAUCAUUUAGUACCAAUUUCUGUUACUUAACAUACUACUACCAACUCAUAAUAGAACUAUUACAAGGUUAUAUUGUUAACAAUGGAAGAUUAAAGCUGUUAAACAUUUAAUGGCAAAUAUAAUUUCAAAUGUGAGUUUUCAGGAUGCCAGCCUAUAAACCAAUUGGUUUACAGUUUUCAUCCCAUCACUAGCACUGAUCUCUUUAAUGGUGAAAUCCAUGUAAUUAUAAAUCUUGGACAGACUACAGUUCACUAUUAUAAGCAGUUUAACUCUUUCAUUACUAUAUUUCUGUUGAAAUUCAGUUUUUACUUCAAUUAAUUUUGAAAAUAAUGAAGAGUUUGAUAAAAUUACUUAAUCACUAUUAACACAUAAAGUGCGACAGGCCACGAUCCUGGUUGACAGGCCACAAUAGAUGCAUUUAAUUUAUUGGUGUUUGUUAGGGGUCUAAUGUCUCUCAAACACUCCGAUAUCCCCCAGAAUGCAGGAGGACUAAUAAUUCAACCAAUGACUUUUCAGAUAAUGUAAAAUUUGCUACCAUUAUAUACUUUUUUUUAUGUGUGCAUGGUAGUCUCAUUUUCAUAAAAUGUGCUCAGCAGUCCAUGUUAUGUAAGUGCAAGUCCCAGCGCUUUAUGGGUUAAGUUUGGAACAUGAAUUAAUAUGAAAUUUUCAGGGAAGGCUUUGAUUUAGAUCACUUAAACACAGGAAUUUGUAUCACAGAACUAGGAUGAUCUCAGGUGGGUUGGUAUAAAAAAGGGUAAAGUAAUAUUAUUGGAACAUGGUUUCCUAGCUUUCAGUACUAAGCUCAAAUCUUUCCCAGGUGAGAAAACUGCAACAAGAAACCAUACAGGUGUAUUUUCUCCUGACUCUUUGAAAGCCUUUUGAGAACCCUGAUAACCUCGGAGAUUAUCAUGUAUUAUUUAUAGUUACAUUCCUAUAGCGAUUAUUCAUCAUGAACUAUCAGACCUCCUUGUAAAAAGUUAAUUCAAAAGAUUCUAACAUUGGUGCUACAUAAAAAUCAUCCAAUACACUCUAUAAAGUGGUUGGCAUUAGGAAGGGCAGGCAGCCAUAGAAACCAUACCAAAACAAACAAUUGGAACUGGCUUGCCAGCAUAGAAAAUAGAUGUUAAAUGAUGAUGAAUCAUUCCUCUGUGAUUGAGUUCUUUCUGAAAUCUCUCUCUCUCUCUUUCAAUAAAGUUGAGAUUUAAUAAAUAAAAAAUCAUUAAGAAAGCUA